This 209-nucleotide long non-coding RNA is filed under the name Eucalyptus grandis. RNAcentral's name for it is "long non-coding RNA (EGRA_LNC006787)". The record is from RNAcentral. Lineage: Eukaryota; Viridiplantae; Streptophyta; Magnoliopsida; Myrtales; Myrtaceae.
CUGGUCGGGGCUGGCCGGGGCUGCUCCGGCGGCCAAAACGGCAAGGGAAAGCCGGCGGAGGGUAAGGGGGACGCCGGGGAAGUCCGGCGGGGUUGAACGGCGGCCGGAGGUGGCCGGACAAGGGCGGAACAGGGGCUAGGUCGCGCGGAUUCGCUCGGGGGAAGGGGCGUCUGGACGGAGGAGAAGGUAGGCGGCGCACGGGGGCGAGC